RNAcentral lists this long non-coding RNA (1560 nucleotides) under Sus scrofa (pig). RNAcentral's name for it is "lncRNA (ENSSSCG00040048697.1)". Lineage: Eukaryota; Metazoa; Chordata; Mammalia; Artiodactyla; Suidae. The record is from RNAcentral.
CUCCGGGGCUCUCCCUGCCCCUUUCUGCCCCUGCAGGCUGACCCCAUGGGCUGCAUUCCCUGGGCUCCCUGUAGGCUGGAUCCCCAGUGGGGCUUAGUCAAUCGGAGGCAUUAACGUGAGGCUGGAAGGCAGAAGAGGAGAGAGGCUGGGUGUUUGUCCUCAGCUCCCCGCCUGCCCAGCACGCGGCCGCGUCCACACUCACCCUGCCGAAUUGUGCACUUGGUCUCAUCUGCCCCCCGUAGCUUACACUCUGAGUUUGAAUCCACAUUUGGCCUACGAGCCCCUCAUGUGGUUUUCCCAGUGCAGUUGGCAUCUGGAUGCCAUUCAGACGCCCCCAAUUGGGCCCAAGCCUCGCCACUCCCUGUGGCCCACCUCAAGGUCGCUGUACAAUCUUUGGGCUCUGCUUGACCCCGCAGAACCCCGAGUCUGGGGCCUCUCGAUAAAGACAAGUGUAGAGGAGGACUUGCCACUGGCUAUUCAGGCAUAAAAACUGCUUGGAACGGGGAUAAAGCAAGUCUUACUUUUCCAACAAACUUUCGCUGUUGAGUUUUAAUAAUAAACUUGGCGUGUUAUCAUGUAUAUUUUUGCCUGUCUGAAACAACCCUGCCUCCUGAAGCAAGUCUCUAGCUGCCGUGAAGACAGGAAGUACCCCAAGUCGGGGCUCUCACGCGGUGCAGCCAGUCCCUGGAAGCAGCACCCACUCUUGUGAGGUUAACCGUAGCCACCAAGCCCGGCCAGGCACGCUCUGGCCUUUAGCUGCAACAGUCGCAUCACAAAUGGCUAACUCAUGAACCCACACCGAGACGCACACGGGUCACUCUGUGAGAUGGUGGAGACCGCAGGUGGGCUCUUUCCAGGGAGACGCGAUUGCGUCGGAAGAUGGCAAAACACAUCCCGUUCGGCCCGUUCUGGAAAUUCUCCAGGGACAUCCGCCAGUUCCGGCAGUCCUCAGGGGGCCUGUGAGAGCCAGGAGGCCGUUAGCUUCCACAGGACCGGCCCAAGCAAGAGGCCUCUGCGCCGUUCUCUUACCCUGGCCAAAGUCGUGGAGGUGGAGGGCUCAGAGGCUGAGACUGGGGGAUAACAAGAUGCCCAGUGGCGGCCCUUCCACCGCAUUUUAAGCUGAUGGCAGUGAUCCUGGAUCUCAACCAUGGGGCCUCAACAAGGUUCUUCAAAUCAAGGACACUGAAGCGUGCGCGCGUGCGUUCCCACCAGGCUGCCAGAACGCCGUCAUGGACACACAUGUGGGUCAGCGGCACGUGGCUUUCAGAGUGAAUUCUUGGUAAGUCAGCUCUCUGCCUACUAGCGAUUAAAUUAUUCUGCUUGUCUGAAAGAUGCUUCCCAACAUAUUAACCAACAGUCUCUCUUGAUGUGACGUUUGGGUUCAUUUUUAUAUAAAUCCUGGAAACUGCUUUAAAAAAUUACCUCAAAGACCUUUUCUCCACCUGCCUCCAAGAACUCAUGUCUUACUGUGUUUUUCCCACAUCAGAUAAAAUUAAAGUAACUUGGAGGCUCAGAAAAUCAAGUUUCAGAACCACCAAAAAACCCCCCAAAAGAGCCACC